Molecule: long non-coding RNA, 2037 nt
Organism: Maniola jurtina (meadow brown)
Lineage: Eukaryota; Metazoa; Arthropoda; Insecta; Lepidoptera; Nymphalidae
Exons: 3
Source: RefSeq, a predicted model, not a curated record
CUGCUGAAAUCAGAGCCAAAAUGGUGAAAAUUAAAUUUCUUCAGGAACAAGUUGGCAAUCAUAGGUCCAGCGUACUGGUCAGUGCUGCAGUGCAUCCUGCAGACCAAAGGCCCAACACACAAGAAUGUGAUUCACAUACUAACUAAAGUAGUAAGGUCCAAACAUAUUACUGUGCAAAAACUUGGCGCUACGUUCGACCAAUAGGAAAGAUCGCCUGUUAUUACAUCACGACACACGACAACAUAUUCGAGCUCUUAGAUUGAAAUCUAAAGAGCGGAUUUUGACUAAGUUUCAGUUAAAACGAGACUUUAUGCCAGCAGUAUAACGCUGUCUCGUUUUAACAGUGUCUUAAGUCUGAGUCAAAGUGCGGUUUAUUGAUCUCAGCCUUACUGUAACCUAAAAUGGCUUCAAUAGCUACCAAAAUAUAUCUAUCGGUAUACUGUGUCAUAGGUACCUAAGUUUGUACAGUCGAAACCACAAAUACAAAUCCACAAGUACUGUCGCUGUUACGGACACAUCUACUCGUGCCUUGCCAAAUACCAAGUGUAAUAAUUCAGUUUUAAAUUGGUAAUAGGUUGUGGUAAACUUUACAACAUUACGAAUAUUUGGAUAUUGAUAUAUAAUCGAAAUAUUCUGUUUGUAUAUAAAUAUCCCAUAUUAUACCUAAAAUAAUUACUAUUAUUGUUGUCUAUUGCCAAAAGCUUCCAUAAUUUAUCUCAGAUCACAUACCAAUUUUUUCUUGGAUUUUAUGUAAGAAUAGGAGAAAAUUUAAUUUAUUUAACUUCAUAGGAUCACUUUUAUUUCAAAUUCGUGAUUUGACGCAAACCACUUAUAAACUAAAUAUACAUCAUUCGUCGAAUAAAAUCGAAUCAAUGAACGAAAUAUGUUUUUGUUUGACUAUUAACUGAGAAAUAAGAGCUGCUUUACCACAUGUAUUAAUAACAGCGGCUAAAAAUUGCACAUUAAAAAACUAUAGAUUCCAUAACCUACUUCAAUAGAAAUCAGGGCAUAGAGAACACAAUACUGCAACCAAUUUAAUCCUUGUAGAAUGCUGUGCUGACAUAAUGUGAAUUAGGGAUAACUUGCCCGUAUGGUAGCUCAAGAAACCAUAUAAGUGCUGAAUUAAUUUCAACACAGGCAUAAUACAAAAAAUUAUACGCAGCUAAGAAUAUAAUAUUGAUUUUUUUUAAUACUAUGUUAAUUAAACAACAAAAUGUACAUAACAUUAUUUUAGCUGUCCGUAACAUCUAAAAACCUUAUCUCGUACAUGUGUGAAAUCACGACCGAUAUCAAACUUUACGAAGCGAUACAAUGUGAACCUUAUCUAAGUUUACCUUAAAGCUUGCACACACAACGCGCGAUGGAAACGAGCGGAAAAUUACAACCACAUUCAGUAAGGAUUCAGUAAUAUUUUAAAAAGAAAAAUGAGUUUACUACUAAUUCGGACUUAAUCAAAAUCAGAAAAUAAUGAUUGUAUGUUCGAUUAUUAUGAGAGAAACGCGAUUAUCUUGCGUGCUUCGUAAAAUUCCUUUUAUAACAAGUCAAACACGCGGGACACGUAUACGCGCGUUUAUUGCGCCGGCCUGCCGCGCCGUUUCCGUCGCGCUUUGUGUGAAGCCUUUAACGAAUCGUAAAUAUCAGCAGCAGCAAAGCUUGCUUACAUACGUUCAAAAGAUCUGUACUCUGCGAGAUUAUUGGGAAAAUGAAAUACUUAGAUUCAUGAAAAUGCUAUGUUUCAAAUAUAGGUAUAAUAAAAAUAACUGACAAAAUGGAACUCGUAUCACAAUACUUAGUCUAAAUACUAAAAUGCAUACCACAAACAGACUCUUAUAAGUAUUUGAUUUCUUACAGCAUGUAAUUUACGUGAGACAUUCUAAUAUUACGAUUUUUUUCCAAAUAUUAUAUUGUUAUGUUAAAGGGGUUUUUUUUUAAAUCAUAAAUGUGUAUUUUGCAUGUAUUUUGACAAAGCAUUAAUUCAGCCAAUCAUCUCGCAAGUCGCAGAACAUUGCAUUAUAUACCACAGUCAGAACUCUGAUC